This 465-nucleotide ribosomal RNA is filed under the name Vreelandella stevensii. Its description in RNAcentral is "partial 16S ribosomal RNA". It matches the Rfam family "Bacterial small subunit ribosomal RNA", at positions 338 to 795 of the family's 1533-position model. Lineage: Bacteria; Pseudomonadati; Pseudomonadota; Gammaproteobacteria; Oceanospirillales; Halomonadaceae. The record is from RNAcentral.
CCUACGGGGUGCUGCAGUGGGGAAUAUUGGACAAUGGGCGAAAGCCUGAUCCAGCCAUGCCGCGUGUGUGAAGAAGGCCUUCGGGUUGUAAAGCACUUUCAGUGGGGAAGAAAGCCUUGGGGCUAAUACCCUCGAGGAAGGACAUCACCCACAGAAGAAGCACCGGCUAACUCCGUGCCAGCAGCCGCGGUAAUACGGAGGGUGCGAGCGUUAAUCGGAAUUACUGGGCGUAAAGCGCGCGUAGGCGGUCUGAUAAGCCGGUUGUGAAAGCCCCGGGCUCAACCUGGGAACGGCAUCCGGAACUGUCAGGCUAGAGUGCAGGAGAGGAAGGUAGAAUUCCCGGUGUAGCGGUGAAAUGCGUAGAGAUCGGGAGGAAUACCAGUGGCGAAGGCGGCCUUCUGGACUGACACUGACGCUGAGGUGCGAAAGCGUGGGUAGCAAACAGGACUAGAUACCCGAGUAGUC